This 3161-nucleotide ribosomal RNA is filed under the name Rhodococcus sp. Eu-32. Its description in RNAcentral is "bacterial LSU rRNA". It matches the Rfam family "Bacterial large subunit ribosomal RNA". Lineage: Bacteria; Bacillati; Actinomycetota; Actinomycetes; Mycobacteriales; Nocardiaceae. The record is from RNAcentral.
GUAAGUAAUUUAGAGCGUACGGUGGAUGCCUUGGCACCAGGAGCCGAUGAAGGACGUAGGAGGCUGCGAUAAGCCUCGGGGAGCUGUCAACCGAGCUGUGAUCCGAGGGUGUCCGAAUGGGGAAACCCAGCACGAGUGAUGUCGUGUUACCUGCACCUGAAUAUAUAGGGUGUGUGGAGGGAACGUGGGGAAGUGAAACAUCUCAGUACCCACAGGAAGAGAAAACAAUUGUGAUUCCGUGAGUAGUGGCGAGCGAAAGCGGAGGAGGCCAAACUUUGUGCGUGUGAUACCCGGCAGGGGUUGCGUAUGGAGGGUUGUGGGGUUUGCAUGUGAUGGUUCUGCCGGACUGUCCGACAGUGAUAAAUCAUGGUGUUAGUCGAAGUGGUCUGGAACGGCCUGUCGUAGAGGGUGAGAGUCCCGUAGACGAAAACACCCGUGACUGUCGAGUGUGGAUGCCCAAGUAGCAGCGGGCCCGUGAAAUCUGCUGUGAAUCUGUCGGGACCACCCGAUAAGCCUGAAUACUCCCUGGUGACCGAUAGCGGACUAGUACCGUGAGGGAAAGGUGAAAAGUACCCCGGGAGGGGAGUGAAAUAGUACCUGAAACCGUGCGCUUACAAUCCGUCAGAGCCUGCGAGUCACUUGUGACUGUGGGUGAUGGCGUGCCUUUUGAAGAAUGAGCCUGCGAGUUAGUGGCAUGUCGCGAGGUUAACCCGUGUGGGGUAGCCGUAGCGAAAGCGAGUCCGAAUAGGGCGUAUCACCUUCGGGUGUGUAGUGGCGUGUUCUAGACCCGAAGCGGAGUGAUCUACCCAUGGCCAGGUUGAAGCGACGGUAAGACGUCGUGGAGGACCGAACCCACUUAGGUUGAAAACUGAGGGGAUGAGUUGUGGGUAGGGGUGAAAGGCCAAUCAAACUCCGUGAUAGCUGGUUCUCCCCGAAAUGCAUUUAGGUGCAGCGUCACGUGUUUCUCGUCGGAGGUAGAGCUACUGGAUGGUCUAGGGGGCUUACCGGCUUACCGAAAUCAGCCAAACUCCGAAUGCCGAUGAGUGAGAGCGUGGCAGUGAGACUGCGGGCGAUAAGGUUCGUAGUCGAGAGGGAAACAGCCCAGAUCGCCAGCUAAGGUCCCUAAGCGUGUACUAAGUGGAAAAGGAUGUGGGGUCGCGAAGACAACCAGGAGGUUGGCUUAGAAGCAGCCACCCUUGAAAGAGUGCGUAAUAGCUCACUGGUCAAGUGAUCCUGCGCCGACAAUGUAGCGGGGCUCAAGUACACCACCGAAGCUGCGGCACUCACACAAUAGCCCGCUGGAUUUCUACGGAAGUUCAGCCAGGUGUGUGGGUGGGUAGGGGAGCGUCGUGCAGCCGUGGAAGCGCCGGGGUGACCUAGGUGUGGAGGCUGUGCGAGUGAGAAUGCAGGCAUGAGUAGCGAAAGACGAGUGAGAAACUCGUCCGCCGAAUGACCAAGGGUUCCUGGGCCAGGUUAAUCCGCCCAGGGUGAGUCGGGACCUAAGACGAGGCCGACAGGCGUAGCCGAUGGACAACGGGUUGAUAUUCCCGUACCCGUGUGAACGCGCCCCUGGUGAAUCAGUGAUACUAACCGCCCUGAAUCCAUGGGAUUCACUGCUUUCGAGUAGUGGACGUUGGGUGGAUGCGUGGGACCUGAUCUGGUAGUAGCCAAGCGAUGGGGUGACGCAGGAAGGUAGCUGAGCCAGUCAGUGGUAAUACUGGUGUAAGCCUGUAGGGCGAACGGUAGGCAAAUCCGCCGUUCAUCGAGCCUGAGAGGUGAUGCGUAGCCGAUUGAGGCGAAUUCAGUGAUCCUAUGCUGCCGAGAAAAGCCUCUAGCGAGCUUUCACACGGCCCGUACCCCAAACCGACACAGGUGGUCAGGUAGAGAAUACUGAGGCGAUCGAGAUAACUAUGGUUAAGGAACUCGGCAAAAUGCCCCCGUAACUUCGGGAGAAGGGGGACCACGCCUGGUGAUCGGACUUGCUCCGUGAGCUGGGUGGGGUCGCAGAGACCAGUGAGAAGCGACUGUUUACUAAAAACACAGGUCCGUGCGAAGUCGUAAGACGAUGUAUACGGACUGACGCCUGCCCGGUGCUGGAAGGUUAAGAGGACCGGUUAACUGCCCUUGUGGUGGUGAAGCUGAGAAUUUAAGCCCCAGUAAACGGCGGUGGUAACUAUAACCAUCCUAAGGUAGCGAAAUUCCUUGUCGGGUAAGUUCCGACCUGCACGAAUGGCGUAACGACUUCUCAGCUGUCUCAACCAUAGACUCGGCGAAAUUGCAUUACGAGUAAAGAUGCUCGUUACGCGCGGCAGGACGAAAAGACCCCGGGACCUUCACUAUAGCUUGGUAUUGGUGUUCGGUUCGGUUUGUGUAGGAUAGGUGGGAGACUGUGAAGCGGUGACGCCAGUUACUGUGGAGUCGUUGUUGAAAUACCACUCUGAUCGUAUUGGAUACCUCAACCUCGGACCAUGAUCUGGUUCAGGGACAGUGCCUGGUGGGUAGUUUAACUGGGGCGGUUGCCUCCCAAAAUGUAACGGAGGCGCCCAAAGGUUCCCUCAGCCUGGUUGGCAAUCAGGUGUCGAGUGCAAGUGCACAAGGGAGCUUGACUGUGAGACUGACAGGUCGAGCAGGGACGAAAGUCGGGACUAGUGAUCCGGCACCGGCAUGUGGAAGCGGUGUCGCUCAACGGAUAAAAGGUACCCCGGGGAUAACAGGCUGAUCUUCCCCAAGAGUCCAUAUCGACGGGAUGGUUUGGCACCUCGAUGUCGGCUCGUCGCAUCCUGGGGCUGGAGUAGGUCCCAAGGGUUGGGCUGUUCGCCCAUUAAAGCGGCACGCGAGCUGGGUUUAGAACGUCGUGAGACAGUUCGGUCUCUAUCCGCCGCGCGCGUCAGAAACUUGAGGAAGGCUGUCCCUAGUACGAGAGGACCGGGACGGACGAACCUCUGGUGUGCCAGUUGUUCCACCAGGAGCACCGCUGGUUAGCUACGUUCGGAAGGGAUAACCGCUGAAAGCAUCUAAGCGGGAAGCCUGUUCCAAGAUGAGGUUUCUCACCCCCUUUGGGGGGGUAAGGCCCCCGGCAGACCACCGGGUUGAUAGGCCAGAACUGGAAGUCGGGUAACCGAUGCAGGUGACUGGUACUAAUAGGCCGAGGACUUACCACA